RNAcentral lists this RNase P RNA (388 nucleotides) under Frigidibacter sp. ROC022. RNAcentral describes it as "RNase P RNA component class A". It matches the Rfam family "Bacterial RNase P class A". Rfam says of the family: Ribonuclease P (RNase P) is a ubiquitous endoribonuclease, found in archaea, bacteria and eukarya as well as chloroplasts and mitochondria. Its best characterised activity is the generation of mature 5'-ends of tRNAs by cleaving the 5'-leader elements of precursor-tRNAs. Cellular RNase Ps are ribonucleoproteins. The record is from RNAcentral. Lineage: Bacteria; Pseudomonadati; Pseudomonadota; Alphaproteobacteria; Rhodobacterales; Paracoccaceae.
GCGGAUGGCCGGAUGACCGCGGGGGAUGGCCCGAAAGAGCCCCUCCGAGGAAAGUCCGGACUCCACGAAGCAACGGUGCCGGGUAACGCCCGGCGGGGGCAACCCCAGGGAAAGCGCCACAGAGAACAGACCGCCCCGGAGCUGAUCCGGGGUAAGGGUGAAACGGUGGGGUAAGAGCCCACCGCGGACCGGGCAACCGGGACGGCACGGCAAGCCCCACCGGGAGCAAUGCCGAAUAGGGACCACGCGCGGGCUCGCCCGCAGGCCGCUUCGGCCCAGUGGUCCGGGUAGGCAGCUUCAGCCCGUCGGUAACGGCAGGGCGAGAGGAAUGGUCAUCCAGGGGGUGCAAGCCCCCGGACAGAAUCCGGCUUACAGGCCAUCCGCGCAA